RNAcentral lists this ribosomal RNA (893 nucleotides) under Agaricus arrillagarum. RNAcentral describes it as "eukaryotic LSU rRNA". It matches the Rfam family "Eukaryotic large subunit ribosomal RNA", at positions 72 to 952 of the family's 3401-position model. The record is from RNAcentral. Lineage: Eukaryota; Fungi; Basidiomycota; Agaricomycetes; Agaricales; Agaricaceae.
GGAUUCCCCUAGUAACUGCGAGUGAAGCGGGAAAAGCUCAAAUUUAAAAUCUGGCAGUCUCUGGCUGUCCGAGUUGUAAUCUAGAGAAGUAAUGCCCGUGCUGGACCGUGUAUAAGUCUCCUGGGAUGGGGCGUCAUAGAGGGUGAGAAUCCCGUCUUUGACACGGACUACCAGUGCAUUGUGGUAUGCUCUCAAAGAGUCGAGUUGUUUGGGAAUGCAGCUCAAAAUGGGUGGUAAAUUCCAUCUAAAGCUAAAUAUUGGCGAGAGACCGAUAGCGAACAAGUACCGUGAGGGAAAGAUGAAAAGAACUUUGGAAAGAGAGUUAAACAGUACGUGAAAUUGCUGAAAGGGAAACGCUUGAAGUCAGUCGCGUUGGCCGGGAAUCAGCCUUGCUUUUGCAUGGUGUACUUUCUGGUUGACGGGUCAGCAUCAAUUUUGACCGCUGGAAAAAGGCCUGGGGAAUGUGGCAGCUUCGGCUGUGUUAUAGCCCCUAGUUGCAUACAGUGGUUGGGAUUGAGGAACUCAGCACGCCGCAAGGCCGGGUUUCGACCACGUUCGUGCUUAGGAUGCUGGCAUAAUGGCUUUAAGCGACCCGUCUUGAAACACGGACCAAGGAGUCUAACAUGCCUGCGAGUAUUUGGGUGGAAAACCCAAGUGCGUAAUGAAAGUGAAAGUUGAGAUCCCUGUCGUGGGGAGCAUCGACGCCCGGACCAGAACUUUUGGGACGGAUCCGCGGUGGAGCAUGUAUGUUGGGACCCGAAAGAUGGUGAACUAUGCCUGAAUAGGGUGAAGCCAGAGGAAACUCUGGUGGAGGCUCGUAGCGAUUCUGACGUGCAAAUCGAUCGUCAAAUUUGGGUAUAGGGGCGAAAGACUAAUCGAACCAUCUAGUAGCU